UAAGACAUGCAAGUCGUGCGACAGACCAGGAAUUGAUUACUUCGGUUUGAUUUUCCUGACGAUGAGCGGCGAACGGGUGCGUAACACGUGAGAAACUUGCCUUAAAGUUCGGGAUAGCUCGGCGAAAGUCGAAUUAAUACCGGAUGUGGCCUGGGGAUAGCAUUUUCCCUCGGUUAAAGCUCGGUCACAGAGCGCUUUUAGAUAGUCUCGCGGUCUAUCAGCUUGUUGGUGAGGUAACGGCUCACCAAGGCUACGACGGAUAACUGAUCUGAGAGGAUGAUCAGUCACACUGGAACUGAGACACGGUCCAGACACCUACGGGUGGCAGCAGUCGAGAAUCAUUCACAAUGGGCGCAAGCCUGAUGGUGCGACGCCGCGUGGGGGAUGAAGGGCUUCGGUCUGUAAACCCCUGUCAUCUGUGAGUAAGGUCUCGUAUAAAAGUUACGAGAAUUGAUAUUAGCAGAAGAGGAAGGGACGGCUAACUCUGUGCCAGCAGCCGCGGUAAUACAGAGGUCCCAAGCGUUGUUCGGAUUUACUGGGCGUAAAGGGUGCGUAGGCGGUUAGAAAAGUUUGGUGUGAAAUCUUCGGGCUCAACCCGGAAACUGCACUGAAAACUAUUUAACUAGAGGAUCGGAGAGGAGAUUGGAAUUCUCAGUGUAGCAGUGAAAUGCGUAGAUAUUGAGAGGAACACCAGUUGCGAAGGCGGAUCUCUGGACGAUUCCUGACGCUGAGGCACGAAAGCUGGGGGAGCGAAGAGGAUUAGAUACCCUCGUAGUCCCAGCCGUAAACGGUGCGCACUUGCUGUGGGCGGAUUCGACCCCGUCCGUGGCGAAGCUAACGCGUUAAGUGCGCCGCCUGGGGAGUACGGUC
RNAcentral lists this ribosomal RNA (870 nucleotides) under uncultured Verrucomicrobiota bacterium. Its description in RNAcentral is "bacterial SSU rRNA". It matches the Rfam family "Bacterial small subunit ribosomal RNA", at positions 49 to 887 of the family's 1533-position model. Lineage: Bacteria; Pseudomonadati; Verrucomicrobiota. The record is from RNAcentral.